Phoenix dactylifera (date palm) is the source of this 417-nucleotide non-coding RNA. Lineage: Eukaryota; Viridiplantae; Streptophyta; Magnoliopsida; Arecales; Arecaceae. The record is from RefSeq and is a predicted model, not a curated record.
GUCCUUGCGGCGAGCCAACGGGCCGCCCGCAGGGAAAAGAAAGGGAAAGGGUGCUCGGGUGGUCGUUCCGACGGGAGGCAUCGGCUGACGAUCCUAUCCGGGGCAUUUCGACAAACGGGUCCCGCUUACUGUUAUAUGAACAGGAAGGCAUGGUGGAAUGACAAGCGGCAAGCGCAGCGUGGAAACCAAGAGGGACUGAAAUCUAGAUGAGGAUUGUGAGAAAGGUGCGUUUAUUGUCGAUAUUGGUGCUUGAGCAGUUUGGAUCCUAUUCAGCUUGUUGAUGUUUUCACCGGGCUCAACCCAUGUUACAAGGUAUCAAGCAUGUCUUUAAUUUCUUGAUUCGUGUUAUUUAAUAAUGAAGUUUGAUAAAUUUGGAACAAAGAUUAAUUAGAUAUUAUUUAUAUUAUAUUUUAAUAU